RNAcentral lists this ribosomal RNA (484 nucleotides) under uncultured bacterium. RNAcentral's name for it is "partial 16S ribosomal RNA". It matches the Rfam family "Bacterial small subunit ribosomal RNA", at positions 30 to 507 of the family's 1533-position model. The record is from RNAcentral.
AUUGAACGCUGGCGGCAUGCCUUACACAUGCAAGUCGAACGGUAACAGGUCUUUCGGGAUGCUGACGAGUGGCGAACGGGUGAGUAAUACAUCGGAACGUGCCUAGUAGUGGGGGAUAACUACUCGAAAGAGUGGCUAAUACCGCAUGAGAUCUAUGGAUGAAAGCAGGGGACCUUUGGGCCUUGUGCUAUUAAAGCGGCCGAUGGCAGAUUAGGUAGUUGGUGGGAUAAAAGCUUACCAAGCCUACGAUCUGUAGCUGGUCUGAGAGGACGAUCAGCCACACUGGGACUGAGACACGGCCCAGACUCCUACGGGAGGCAGCAGUGGGGAAUUUUGGACAAUGGGCGCAAGCCUGAUCCAGCAAUGCCGCGUGCAGGAUGAAGGCCUUCGGGUUGUAAACUGCUUUUGUACGGAACGAAAAGUCUUGGGUUAAUACCCUGGGAUCAUGACGGUACCGUAAGAAUAAGCACCGGCUAACUACGUG